GACGAACGCUGGCGGCGUGCUUAACACAUGCAAGUCGAGCGGAAGGGCCCUUCGGGGUACUCGAGCGGCGAACGGGUGAGUAACACGUGAGCAACCUGCCCUUAGCUCUGGGAUAGCUCCGGGAAACCGGAAUUAAUCCCAGAUAUGACCACGGCCGACAUCUGCCGUGGUGGAAAGGAUUCCGGCUAAGGAUGGGCUCG
This 200-nucleotide ribosomal RNA is filed under the name uncultured bacterium. Its description in RNAcentral is "partial 16S ribosomal RNA". It matches the Rfam family "Bacterial small subunit ribosomal RNA", at positions 28 to 233 of the family's 1533-position model. The record is from RNAcentral.